RNAcentral lists this ribosomal RNA (474 nucleotides) under Triticum aestivum (bread wheat). RNAcentral describes it as "partial small subunit ribosomal RNA". Lineage: Eukaryota; Viridiplantae; Streptophyta; Magnoliopsida; Poales; Poaceae. The record is from RNAcentral.
UCCGCGACAGCGUCACGAGAACCGCCCCUAACGCUCGUCGAAUCGAUCGCAGGCCAGAUCGUGUUCAACAAGCUCAGGGAGAGAUCCGACCAGUUCGCGGCGAGGGGACUGGUGAGGUCCGAGGAGAGCAAGCAGAAGAUCGGGGGAGACGACGACGUCUACGUCGCCGACGUCAGGGAGGCGGAGAACCUCGCACCGGCCGUCCAGGGCGCCGACGCGCUCGUCAUCCUCACCAGCACCUCCCCCAAGAUGAAGCCAGGGUUCGACCCCACCAAGGGCGGCCGGCCCGAGUUCUACUACGAGGACGAAGCCUACCCUGAGCAGGUGGAUUGGAUUGGGCAGAAGAAUCAGAUUGAUGCUGCCAAAGCAGCCGGUGUGAAGCACAUAGUGCUGGUGGGAUCUGGGGGAACAAAUCCCAACCAUCCACUGAACAGCCUUGGCAAUGGCAAUAUACUGGUAAGUUGUUUGCGAUGA